UCUCUAUGAAGAAAACUCCUGGACAGAAGUAUCCGCAAAAAAUUAGCUUUGGAGGUUAUUAUAUAAUUUAUAACAGUUCUAACGCGUGUACCAAGAGUUAAACAUCGAGAUCCAGUCAAACAAGAUUUCAUAAAUUGCCCCCAAAGAAAAAAAGAAAAAAAAAGCUAGCUCAAGAUUAAUUUUCAAAGCAAGCAAGAUUUAAUUUAAUUUUGAAUGGAUUUAUAAAAAAUAAUAAAAAAAAACCUUGAAAUUUCACUUAAUUCACGAACCAGAAAAACCAAGAUCUGUUAAAGGCUUUUCCAAAUAUAGCUACCACCAUAGAUCUGAACCAAUUCGACCAAAAAAAAAAAGACAUAGAAAGAGCUAAGAUACUUUAGGUACUCAACUGUACAGUCUUCCUCCAAAGGGUGACUUCUCAAGUAUCUGUGUAUAUUUAUCGUUAACGAAGAAGAAAGUCAGGUUAACGCAACAAGGAGGAGGAACAAGACGGUCCCGUUUGCUUUUAUAGAAAGGGAGAAGGAAAAGAAAAUAAAGGAGGGGGCGAGAUCAAUUGGGGAAUUGGGCAACAGCACAGAGGAAGGGAAAGGACCACCGACUA
This 598-nucleotide unclassified non-coding RNA is filed under the name Hevea brasiliensis (rubber tree). The record is from RNAcentral. Lineage: Eukaryota; Viridiplantae; Streptophyta; Magnoliopsida; Malpighiales; Euphorbiaceae.